RNAcentral lists this ribosomal RNA (817 nucleotides) under Enterococcus faecium. RNAcentral describes it as "bacterial SSU rRNA". It matches the Rfam family "Bacterial small subunit ribosomal RNA", at positions 103 to 1463 of the family's 1533-position model. Lineage: Bacteria; Bacillati; Bacillota; Bacilli; Lactobacillales; Enterococcaceae. The record is from RNAcentral.
CGGGUGGGUACCCCGUGGGUAACCCUGCCAUCAGAAGGGGAUAACACUUGGAAACAGGUGCUAAUACCGUAUAACAAUCAAAACCGCAUGGUUUUGAUUUGAAAGGCGCUUUCGGGUGUCGCUGAUGGAUGGACCCGCGGUGCAUUAGCUAGUUGGUGAGGUAACGGCUCACCAAGGCCACGAUGCAUAGCCGACCUGAGAGGGUGAUCGGCCACAUUGGGACUGAGACACGGCCCAAACUCCUACGGGAGGCAGCAGAAUAGGGGAAGGGGGGGCGCACAGCGGUGGAGCAUGUGGUUUAUUCGAUACUCGCAACGCGAAGAACCUUACCAGGUCUUGACAUCCUUUGACCACUCUAGAGAUAGAGCUUCCCCUUCGGGGGCAAAGUGACAGGUGGUGCAUGGUUGUCGUCAGCUCGUGUCGUGAGAUGUUGGGUUAAGUCCCGCAACGAGCGCAACCCUUAUUGUUAGUUGCCAUCAUUCAGUUGGGCACUCUAGCAAGACUGCCGGUGACAAACCGGAGGAAGGUGGGGAUGACGUCAAAUCAUCAUGCCCCUUAUGACCUGGGCUACACACGUGCUACAAUGGGAAGUACAACGAGUUGCGAAGUCGCGAGGCUAAGCUAAUCUCUUAAAGCUUCUCUCAGUUCGGAUUGCAGGCUGCAACUCGCCUGCAUGAAGCCGGAAUCGCUAGUAAUCGCGGAUCAGCACGCCGCGGUGAAUACGUUCCCGGGCCUUGUACACACCGCCCGUCACACCACGAGAGUUUGUAACACCCGAAGUCGGUGAGGUAACCUUUUGGAGCCAGCCGCCUAAGGU